GAGGCCCUCCUCCAGGCACCACACUGCCAUCUAACUGCAACCGGAGGCCUGGCAGAAAAUGGCGCCACUCCGCAGGCACGAAGUAAAAUGGGUCAGAUUUUUGAUCAUGCUUUGGUAAUAACUCUACAAGGAGGACAGGCGUCCCAGAAGGAAAAUGAGAUGAUUUGGUACUCAGGUGGAAUGCCAGAGAGGAGCGACAGACAGAAUUCUGGUGGAAUAUGGGAACUCAGCUGUGACAGCGGCAGGGGUGCUUGGGAUAUGGAGUGCAGAAAUGCAUGGCAUGGUAACAGAAGCAUUCCUGGUCCGACAUAAAAGAUAGCCAACACUCAACUGAUGGCGAAAGGAGGAAAAUUGUGUAAUUAUUGUGUAUUUUGGCUGAUUUCUGGAGAGAUGAUUGUGAAACGGUACAAUGUUGGAAUAAAUAUUCUUUAUUUU
This is a long non-coding RNA of Erpetoichthys calabaricus (reedfish), 435 nucleotides long. RefSeq lists it as uncharacterized. The record is from RefSeq and is a predicted model, not a curated record. The transcript is spliced from 2 exons. NCBI's taxonomy places the organism in Eukaryota, Metazoa, Chordata, Cladistia, Polypteriformes, Polypteridae.